CGAAAGCCUGACGGAGCAACGCCGCGUGAGGGAUGAAGGCCUCUGGGCUGUAAACCUCUUUUAUCAAGGAAGAAGAUCUGACGGUACUUGAUGAAUAAGCCACGGCUAAUUCCGUGCCAGCAGCCGCGGUAAUACGGGAGUGGCAAGCGUUAUCCGGAAUUAUUGGGCGUAAAGCGUCCGCAGGCGGUCUUUUAAGUCUGUCGUCAAAGCGUGGAGCUUAACUCCAUUUCUGCGAUGGAAACUGGAAGACUAGAGUGUGGUAGGGGCAGAGGGAAUUCCCGGUGUAGCGGUGAAAUGCGUAGAUAUCGGGAAGAACACCAGUGGCGAAGGCGCUCUGCUGGGCCAUAACUGACGCUCAUGGACGAAAGCCAGGGGAGCG
RNAcentral lists this ribosomal RNA (379 nucleotides) under uncultured cyanobacterium. RNAcentral's name for it is "bacterial SSU rRNA". It matches the Rfam family "Bacterial small subunit ribosomal RNA", at positions 376 to 770 of the family's 1533-position model. The record is from RNAcentral. Lineage: Bacteria; Bacillati; Cyanobacteriota.